AACGAACGCUGGCGGCAUGCCUAACACAUGCAAGUCGAACGAGACCUUCGGGUCUAGUGGCGCACGGGUGCGUAACGCGUGGGAGCCUGCCCUUAGGUUCGGAAUAACUCCCCGAAAGGGGUGCUAAUACCGGAUAAUGUCUUCGGACCAAAGAUUUAUCGCCUUUGGAUGGGCCCGCGUUGGAUUAGCUAGUUGGUAGGGUAAAAGCCUACCAAGGCGACGAUCCAUAGCUGGUCUGAGAGGAUGAUCAGCCACACUGGGACUGAGACACGGCCCAGACUCCUACGGGAGGCAGCAGUGGGGAAUAUUGGACAAUGGGCGAAAGCCUGAUCCAGCAAUGCCGCGUGAGUGAUGAAGGCCUUAGGGUUGUAAAGCUCUUUUACCCGGGAUGAUAAUGACAGUACCGGGAGAAUAAACUCCGGCUAACUCCGU
RNAcentral lists this ribosomal RNA (432 nucleotides) under uncultured bacterium. Its description in RNAcentral is "partial 16S ribosomal RNA". It matches the Rfam family "Bacterial small subunit ribosomal RNA", at positions 29 to 506 of the family's 1533-position model. The record is from RNAcentral.